Molecule: ribosomal RNA, 400 nt
Filed under: uncultured bacterium
Lineage: Bacteria
Description: bacterial SSU rRNA
Rfam family: Bacterial small subunit ribosomal RNA
Source: RNAcentral
UGGGGAAUAUUGGACAAUGGGCGCAAGCCUGAUCCAGCAAUACCGCGUGUGUGAAGAAGGCCUGAGGGUUGUAAAGCACUUUCAGCGAGGAGGAAGUGUGAGUAGUUAAUACCUAUUUAUAUUGACGUUACUCGCAGAAGAAGCACCGGCUAACUCUGUGCCAGCAGCCGCGGUAAUACAGAGGGUGCAAGCGUUAAUCGGAAUUACUGGGCGUAAAGCGUGCGUAGGCGGGACAUUAAGUCAGAUGUGAAAGCCCUGGGCUUAACCUAGGAAUUGCAUCUGAAACUGGUGUGCUAGAGUAUGGUAGAGGAUGGCGGAAUUUCCGGUGUAGCGGUGAAAUGCGUAGAUAUCGGAAGGAACACCAGUGGCGAAGGCGGCCAUCUGGGCCAAUACUGACGCU